CUUGUUGGUGGGGUAGUGGCCUACCAAGGCGACGACGGGUAGCCGGCCUGAGAGGGUGACCGGCCACACUGGGACUGAGACACGGCCCAGACUCCUACGGGAGGCAGCAGUGGGGAAUAUUGCACAAUGGGCGAAAGCCUGAUGCAGCGACGCCGCGUGAGGGAUGACGGCCUUCGGGUUGUAAACCUCUUUCGCCAGGGACGAAGCGCAAGUGACGGUACCUGGAUAAGAAGCACCGGCUAACUACGUGCCAGCAGCCGCGGUAAUACGUAGGGUGCAAGCGUUGUCCGGAUUUAUUGGGCGUAAAGAGCUCGUAGGCGGUUUGUCGCGUCGGCUGUGAAAUCUGGAGGCUUAACCUUCAGCGUGCAGUCGAUACGGGCAGACUUGAGUUCGGUAGGGGAGACUGGAAUUCCUGGUGUAGCGGUGAAAUGCGCAGAUAUCAGGAGGAACACCGGUGGCGAAGGCGGGUCUCUGGGCCGAUACUGACGCUGAGGAGCGAAAGCGUGGGGAGCGAACAGGAUUAGAUACCCUGGUAGUCCACGCUGUAAACGGUGGGUGCUAGGUGUGGGCGACAUUCCACGUUGUCCGUGCCGUAGCUAACGCAUUAAGCACCCCGCCUGGGGAGUACGG
Molecule: ribosomal RNA, 630 nt
Filed under: uncultured bacterium
Lineage: Bacteria
Description: bacterial SSU rRNA
Rfam family: Bacterial small subunit ribosomal RNA
Source: RNAcentral